GUUGAAUAAAAUGUACAUGGUUGGAUCCAAACUGUCUAAAUACUCACAGCUUUAAAGAGAAAUCAGCAUGUAUCUGGCACACCAAUGAAUACUGUGUUCUUCAGAGCUCAUGCUGAACUGUGUACAUUGAAGGGUCUCCCUAAAGGAAACUUUGAGACCCUUCUGUAGGCUGACCCUUCUUAGAUGGAGCUCGGCCUUCAUUUUGGAAUGCUCCGCCAUCUGAGUGCUUUAAAAAUUAAGGUGGCUUUGAGGAUCCUCUCACUUCACAGUGUGGGGAGCCAUGGCAAGCCUAGGCUUGACUCCCUUCCUGGAUGGAACUCGUACCUCAGAACUGUUGCCUCUGUGUUGUUCCAGUCAUGAUCCCCAAAGCAUGAUUCCUGAUUUGGAGGCCAAGAAAGUACAGCCUGUCUUAGCAUGUGAUCUUAUGUAAGGCACUGUGUGUCGAGCUGGCAGGAAACAAACAUCUCUCCAGCCCCCUGUUUUCAGAGACGGGUCGGAAAAUAUUUCAGCUGCUUGGUAUCAGCCUGCUGUGGUCAGUUAUCAGUGUGGUCCAGAAGGACAGGACAGCGCACCAUUCAUGGUCUGUCAGAGCUGCUCCUAGAUGGGCGGAUGGCGUCAUGACCAAAUCUCGCCUGCAUGUUUUUCAUUUCCAGUUAAGCAUGCAUGUUGGUCCUCUGGGAGUAACCCCACUCUUCAGAUCCGUGCCUUGCACCUGGAAGAGGAGGUACCUGAGGCCAAUAAGAAGUAGAAACACAAAAAGGGCUGGUGGUGUUGAUUGCCAAAAGACAUACCAGGACUAUGGCAGCCAGUCAGUGCCUUGAAAGGAGACAAAAGAGUCAGCUCGUGGAGUGAAGCCCAGAGCAGAAAUGGUUCCCAGUCGAGGACACUGGGUCCUUCUUCUUCAGUGGCCUUCAUCACUGGGGCUACAGCCCAGGGGUCAGGAGCCAGCCAGCCUGUCCACACGUACUUCUUGUGCACCUGCUCCUAGGCCCUGUCCAAGAAUGAGUCCAGACUUGGAGACUCAGUGAGAGGCUCCUCUAAUCCCUUCAAAGCAACCCUCUGCCAGCUGUUAAAGCAUGCCGAGUUGUGUUGUGCAAACCAAGCUCCCUUAAACCACUCUCCAGCCAUGUUGGCACCCAACUACUCAGCAGUGCAUAAACAAGCAAGGAUAAGGCCCCACCCCAAGCAGUUUUCUAGCCCACAAAUCUCUGGCAAGACUAGGGAAGCAGCCUUUCCCAAGAGGACACUGCUUACUGUAGAAAAAGUCACAUUUCUCUAGACUGGCUUCCAGUCAAUAGCCAGGGCUGGGAAUCAAGAGAUGUGAGCUCUGUCCCAUCUCUGCCCUAUCUCUGUGCCACUGUGUAGCCCUGGGCAGAUCAACUUCCAUUCAUUCUGUCAAGAAUCUAUCUAUAUGCUGAAAGGUGCUGUCCAUCUCCAGAGAAAGAACUGGGGGAGCCUGAAUGCAGAUUUUUCUUUACUUUCUUUAUUUUGGGGUUAGUUUUUUUGUCAGUGUUUUCUUUCACAGCGUGAUUUACAUGGAAAUGUGUUUUGCGUGACCACACAAGUAUAACCUAUGUCAAACUGCUUGCCUUCUCGGUGGGGGCAGGGGAGGGGAUGUUGGAAAGGAAAGAAUUUGGAACUCAAAAUUUGAAAAAAAAAAAGUUAAAAUUGUUUUUACAUGUAAUUAGGGGGAAAAUAAAAUAUUAAACAAAAAAAAGAAUUUAUCUACA
RNAcentral lists this long non-coding RNA (1730 nucleotides) under Vombatus ursinus (common wombat). RNAcentral's name for it is "lncRNA (ENSVURG00010009345.1)". The record is from RNAcentral. Lineage: Eukaryota; Metazoa; Chordata; Mammalia; Diprotodontia; Vombatidae.